GAAAAGACUGCUAAUACCCUAUGAGCCCUAUGGGGGAAAGAUUUAUCGCCAUGAGAUGUGCCCGCGUUAGAUUAGCUAGUUGGUAAGGUAAUGGCUUACCAAGGCGACGAUCUAUAGCUGGUCUGAGAGGAUGAUCAGCCACACUGGGACUGAGACACGGCCCAGACUCCUACGGGAGGCAGCAGUGGGGAAUAUUGGACAAUGGGGGCAACCCUGAUCCAGCCAUGCCGCGUGUGUGAUGACGGCCUUAGGGUUGUAAAGCACUUUCAGCAGUGAAGAUAAUGACAUUAACUGCAGAAGAAGCCCCGGCUAACUUCGUGCCAGCAGCCGCGGUAAUACGAAGGGGGCUAGCGUUGUUCGGAAUCACUGGGCGUAAAGAGUACGUAGGCGGACUGAUAAGUUAGGGGUGAAAUCCCAAGGCUCAACCUUGGAACUGCCUUUGAUACUGUCAGUCUUGAGAUCGAGANAGGUGAGUGGAACUCCGAGUGUAGAGGUGAAAUUCGUAGAUAUUC
RNAcentral lists this ribosomal RNA (512 nucleotides) under Pseudovibrio sp. J2102c. RNAcentral's name for it is "bacterial SSU rRNA". It matches the Rfam family "Bacterial small subunit ribosomal RNA", at positions 153 to 699 of the family's 1533-position model. The record is from RNAcentral. Lineage: Bacteria; Pseudomonadati; Pseudomonadota; Alphaproteobacteria; Hyphomicrobiales; Stappiaceae.